ACCCGUGUAGCUCAGAUGGCAAGAGCGAUUGACUUUUAAUCAUUUGUCGCGGGUUCGAGUCCUGCCACGGGUA
RNAcentral lists this transfer RNA (73 nucleotides) under Phascolarctobacterium faecium. RNAcentral's name for it is "tRNA-Lys". It matches the Rfam family "tRNA". From Rfam's summary of the family: Transfer RNA (tRNA) molecules are approximately 80 nucleotides in length. RNAcentral also lists the same sequence under 2 other names. Lineage: Bacteria; Bacillati; Bacillota; Negativicutes; Acidaminococcales; Acidaminococcaceae. The record is from RNAcentral.